Trematomus bernacchii (emerald rockcod) is the source of this 1834-nucleotide long non-coding RNA. RefSeq lists it as uncharacterized. The record is from RefSeq and is a predicted model, not a curated record. The transcript has 3 exons. Lineage: Eukaryota; Metazoa; Chordata; Actinopteri; Perciformes; Nototheniidae.
UGCCUAUCUGUUUUUUAAUCGAGGUGCGCAUGCGUCAGCGUUGCAUGAAUCUUCCAUACAUUGACUUUUAUCCCUUUUUAAUGCACAGUUUUGCUGCAGAACUACUAGAUUAUAGUUUACUACGUUGUUUACAUGUGAUGCGUUCAGCAGCUGAGCCUCUCUGCAGGGAACACCCCGGAAAUCUCAUCGUGUAAGCAGCACGGCACCGGUGUGGAAUAACUUGUUGACGUUUUUCCUUCUCUACAAACAACCUGCGCAUUCUGCUAUCCCGUAAACAUUGAUGAGUGCAGAGUUUCUGGAACAAAUCUGAGGACGGCCGGGUUUCUUCACUUCUUCUCUUCUUCCUCCACUCGUGUGGCUCACCUGGUAGGGCAGGUGCACAGUGAGCCAGGAAGAAUCCUAGAUGCCAGGGUUCGUAUCCCCCCUGCGGCUGCAGUGCUGCUUUUCAGGACCAAAAAAAGCAAAAAUUUGGGAAAAAAGCUAAAAAAAAAAGAUUUUCUGCAAUUUUUCUGCUCUCCUACGCUACCUCCCUCUCCCGCCUCUCUUAUCCUACCUGCCUCUCCUACGCGACACUCCUACGUUACGCGAGCCUACUCUUCCUGCCUCACUUACUAUGAACUACCUGAACUACCUGCCUCACUUACUAUGAACUACCUGCCUCAUCUACUAUGAACUACCUGCCUCAUCUACUGUGCACUACCUGCUGCAGCUACUCUGCCUAACUCAGCUACUCGGAGAAUCGAACCCGUAUAUGCUAAGCGACAGACCCGAACUCGACACCAGCGCCUUAAUGCCGAGAACAGACCCAAUCCGGCCACCAUCACAUGUACAUGAAGACCUGUGCUCCGGGCGCAUUUAUCUUCUUCAUUUUGAGUAUUGCACUUUAAAAAUCACUAUAGCUCACGAGGACUCGAACACACAACCUCAGGUCUUCUGACCUGACACUUAUCCCACUGAGCUAUCUGUCCUGAGAUGAUUACGUUUCGAAGAGCUUAUGACCGGUUCAUUUGGGUUUUUGAAACUUAAAGAUUACUGCACCUGAAAAUCCUUGAACCCACAACCUUCAGUCUCACAGUCUGUGCUCUAUCCCUCUGAGCCACUUGACCAGUGACUGCUACAUCUCAUUUGGUAACUUAAUUCUCUACUUUGGAUCGUUAGACUUAGAAAAUGCAUGGACCUCACAGGGAUCGAACCCAAGACUCCUGCUUACCUGAGCAGCGUUGUAUCCCACUGAGCUAUUUCAUUAGUGAAAGUCUUAGGUUGUUUGGUAGAUUAUGUCACAAUGACAAUGUAAAAAAGGAAAUAGAACAAGCUAUUGUGCAGUGCAUCCAAUACAACUAUCCUUGUAAGUAUGUCAUACAAUUGUGCCACCAACAUUUUAAAAUGAAAAACUCUUCUCUGCUUUUUUCACACCAUUUUGGAUGUUUUACCUGAAAACCAGUGCAAAUAAAGAAGAUUGAACCCACAACCUCCAGUCUUCAAGGCAGUGUUUCUUCCCAGUGAGCCAUUUGACCUGGGCCAAUAAACUUUUGUUUGGUAAUGUAAUUCUGCACUUUGGGUGUUAAACUUCCAAAAAUCUAUGCACCUCAUGGGGAUCGAACCCAAAACUUCAGCUCACCUGAGCAGCGUUGUAUCACCCUGAGCUAUUAGAUUGAGACAGUGACCUGUUGUUUGGUAGAUUAUGUCACAAAUAAAAAUGUAAAUAAAAUAAGUCAUAGUGCAGUCCAUCUGAAAAAAUCUGUCCUUGUAAGUAUGUCACACAAUUGUGCCACCAACAUUUUAAAAUGAAAAACUCUUCUCUAGGCUUUUUUCACACCAUUUUGGAUGUUUUACC